AAUUAGCCCAGAUAGAAGUGAAAAUCCUUUUGUGCCAGGGUUUGGCACAAAAGAUUGUAACGAAUAGCUGGAAAUAGC
RNAcentral lists this small RNA (78 nucleotides) under Flavobacterium branchiophilum. RNAcentral's name for it is "Flavo-1 RNA". It matches the Rfam family "Flavo-1 RNA". The record is from Rfam by way of RNAcentral. Lineage: Bacteria; Pseudomonadati; Bacteroidota; Flavobacteriia; Flavobacteriales; Flavobacteriaceae.